This 490-nucleotide ribosomal RNA is filed under the name uncultured bacterium. RNAcentral describes it as "partial 16S ribosomal RNA". It matches the Rfam family "Bacterial small subunit ribosomal RNA", at positions 30 to 507 of the family's 1533-position model. The record is from RNAcentral.
AUUGAACGCUGGCGGUAGGCCUAACACAUGCAAGUCGAACGGUAACAGGAAGAAGCUUGCUUCUUUGCUGACGAGUGGCGGACGGGUGAGUAAUGUCUGGGAAACUGCCUGAUGGCGGGGGAUAACUACUGGAAACGGUAGCUAAUACCGCAUAACGUCGCAAGACCAAAGAGGGGGACCUUCGGGCCUCUUGCCAUCGUAUGUGCCCAGAUGGGAUUAGCUAGUAGGUGGGGUAACGGCUCACCUAGGCGACGAUCCCUAGCUGGUCUGAGAGGAUGACCAGCCACACUGGAACUGAGACACGGUCCAGACUCCUACGGGAGGCAGCAGUGGGGAAUAUUGCACAAUGGGCGCAAGCCUGAUGCAGCCAUGCCGCGUGUAUGAAGAAGGCCUUCGGGUUGUAAAGUACUUUCAGCGGGAAGGAAAGGAAUAAAGUUAAUACCUUUACUCAUUGACGUUACCCGCAGAAGAAGCACCGGCUAACUCCGUG